AGUACGGCGGAACACGAGAAAUUCCGUCGGAAUCCGCGGGGACCAUCCCGCAAGGCUAAAUACUCCCUAGUGACCGAUAGUGAACCAGUACCGUGAGGGAAAGGUGAAAAGCACCCCGGAAGGGGAGUGAAAUAGAUCCUGAAACCGUGUGCCUACAACAAGUCAAAGCUCGUUAAUGAGUGAUGGCGUGCCUUUUGUAGAAUGAACCGGCGAGUUACGAUUGCAUGCGAGGUUAAGUCGAAGAGACGGAGCCGCAGCGAAAGCGAGUCUGAAUAGGGCGAAUGAGUAUGUAGUCGUAGACCCGAAACCAUGUGAUCUACCCAUGUCCAGGUUGAAGGUGCGGUAAAACGCACUGGAGGACCGAACCCACGUACGUUGAAAAGUGCGGGGAUGAGGUGUGGGUAGCGGAGAAAUUCCAAACGAACUUGGAGAUAGCUGGUUCUCUCCGAAAUAGCUUUAGGGCUAGCCUCGGAAUUGAGAAUGAUGGAGGUAGAGCACUGUUUGGACUAGGGGCCCAUCUCGGGUUACCGAAUUCAGAUAAACUCCGAAUGCCAUUCAUUUAUAUCCGGGAGUCAGACUGCGAGUGAUAAGAUCCGUAGUCGAAAGGGAAACAGCCCAGACCACCAGCUAAGGUCCCAAAAUAUAUGUUAAGUGGAAAAGGAUGUGGGGUUGCACAGACAACUAGGAUGUUGGCUUAGAAGCAGCCACCAUUUAAAGAGUGCGUAAUAGCUCACUAGUCGAGUGACCCUGCG
Molecule: ribosomal RNA, 752 nt
Filed under: Enterococcus faecalis
Lineage: Bacteria; Bacillati; Bacillota; Bacilli; Lactobacillales; Enterococcaceae
Description: partial 23S ribosomal RNA
Rfam family: Bacterial large subunit ribosomal RNA
Source: RNAcentral